Sander lucioperca (pikeperch) is the source of this 361-nucleotide long non-coding RNA. RefSeq lists it as uncharacterized. The record is from RefSeq and is a predicted model, not a curated record. Lineage: Eukaryota; Metazoa; Chordata; Actinopteri; Perciformes; Percidae. The transcript has 3 exons.
AGGUGCAGUAGGUAAGACUUCUAAAACUAACUUUCCGUCAUAUCUGCUGAAGCUGACCCUAUGUUCCAGUAGAACUACAAGAAGCAGGUCAUUUAAAAUAAAAAUCCAGCUCCUCUGGCUCCACCUACAGCCUGGAGAGAGAUUUACAAAAAUCCACAGCUCCCUGUUCAGAUGGACCAAUCAGAGCCAGGGGGAGUGUGUCUAACUGUUCAGAUGCACCAAUCAGGGCCAGGGGAGGGAGUGUCUAACUGUUAAGAUGCAUUAAUCAGAGCCAGGGGGAGUGUCUAACUUCAGAUGCACCAAUCAGGGCCAGGGGGGGUGUCUAACUGUUCAGAUGCACCAAUCAGGGCCAGGGGGCGUG